Long non-coding RNA from Herpailurus yagouaroundi (jaguarundi), 228 nucleotides. RefSeq lists it as uncharacterized. The transcript is spliced from 2 exons. The record is from RefSeq and is a predicted model, not a curated record. Lineage: Eukaryota; Metazoa; Chordata; Mammalia; Carnivora; Felidae.
UGGUGAAAGAUCCCCGUCUGUCUGUCUGUCUGUCUUUCAGAGGAACAUGACACACAUAUCAAGACAACAUGGAAAAUAUGAAGAGUGUUUCAAAUGUGGAUCCAAAUCAAAGGUCACAGGAAGAAACUCUAGCUUGCCAUGGAGCAAAUGUUUGUCAACUGGAAGAAUCCAUCUGUAGGACGGUUAUCAGCUCUCUGUAAUAAACAAGUGACCUACUAGUGAUUAAAA